CUGAAUGAGUUUAACCAACAUUAAACCCUCCUAUAAAAUGCUAACAUGUAUACAAGGAAACCCUGAAAUUAAGCCCUUACUCAGUCCUGAUCACACAUCCCUUUUCUCGUUCUAUCUCGAUCUUCUAGUUCCACCACUAGAUCACUCACACGAACAAUCUCUCUCCAUCGUCUACCACCACAGACACAGUAGCUCCAAUCUAUCUAGAGAUAAAAUCAAAUUUAUCUCUCUCUGUUAUUGUUUUCGACUUUCUGCUUUAGAUUUGUUUUUAAGCCAUGAUUUUUCUUCUCAAUUAGUUUCUUACUAUUAAGCCAUGUUCUGACUUUUCUGAGUUGGUUUUGCUAUUAAUACUGUUAUUUUUAUUUCAUUAAGUGUUUGCUGUUGAUUUAAUUUAUGGGUUGGUUUUGUUGUUGUCAACAUUGGCCUUUCAGCUAGGGUGUAGACUUUGCAAGAUCCUCUACUGGAUCUAGCUCAGAGGAUUACGCUGGAUGCGGUCACAAAUCACACCUGAGUUAUUGGGGAUGAUGGACCGAUUCCUCAGUAUUUGUGUUGGUGCACGCGUAGUAGCAUGUAGAGGGAACCAUCUGAUGGGAGCAACAACAACAUUAAUGGAACUCCAGUUUCUCCUUUUAUUUUGACUUAUCCUUUUCAACUCUAGCUAUUGAUUCUUUGGUCAAUAUUAAUUAUAAUCGGUAGCGGGAACAAGUUUCAAAAGAAGGAUUUACUCUCAAAAUAAUUAUAUAUAUUGCUUAAUGGCCUUAUUUAUUUAUGGGGGAGUGGGAAAACCCAUUAAAUAUUUGUGGUGUUUGUUUUUUUCCAGAUCCGAGGAACUCGAGACAACACUGAUGGAGAUGGUCCACCAAGAUAAUCGAUGACAGUUAUGUGCGAAGCUAUAUUCAAGAUUGAUUCAAACAACCGUUAUUGCUUUUGAAUACAUGACAAAAUAGGUUAAUGUUCUGGUUUCCAUGAAAAGCACUUAAAUGAGGUUUUGUUGCAGGGAAAGAUCUGAUGUCUAUCAAGAAAUCUUUCAACAACGUUGUUAAUGUGCUUCUUCACUAUGAAGAUUUAUGUUCUUGGUGUGGUUUGUUUUUGACAAUAUCAGCUUCUUUGUUGUUCAGUUUUUAAGCCAUGUGAAGGCAACUACUUUUUUAUUUAUUUGUUAAGUUUGUCAUGCUUUACAAAUUUGGAUUUUUAUUAA
Populus trichocarpa (black cottonwood) is the source of this 1198-nucleotide long non-coding RNA. RefSeq lists it as uncharacterized. The record is from RefSeq and is a predicted model, not a curated record. Lineage: Eukaryota; Viridiplantae; Streptophyta; Magnoliopsida; Malpighiales; Salicaceae. The transcript has 2 exons.